GUUUUUUCAUAUUCCUAGAAUAAUUUAGUUAUGUUUAGGUUAAUUAUUAAUAAAAUAAUUGUUUUGUGUAAAAUUAUAUACAUAUAACUUAGAAUACAUUUUUUAAACUCUAAUUAUUUUUAGCUUAUUCACUUUUGGGAACAGUUUUCUCACAGCCAUCUAUGCUCUAGAGAGUUUUCUUUACAUAAAAAAAAAUGACUUAACUAUUGUAAUUGAGUCAGACAUAAUACCCGGGCUAAUGUUCCCUCCUACGUCACGAUUAUGUCCUGGUCAAUUAGAGAUUUGGUCCAGUAUUGAUCACAGAUGUUCCCUGCGAGUGGAAGGUGACUCCUCGGAAGAGUUCAUUCUUCGGAAAGGGAAUUUUUCGCGGCUUUUAAUGAUAGUUUUAUGCUCUGAGCAAAUAUCAGAGAAUAUGCGGUUCAGUAUGUGCAUACUGUAUAUAUACCGUAUAUGUAUUCACUUAAUCCCUCUAUCCAUUUGGGAGAUUAUAUAACAUCCUUAAUUUAAGUGGUCCG
Molecule: long non-coding RNA, 515 nt
Filed under: Androctonus crassicauda
Lineage: Eukaryota; Metazoa; Arthropoda; Arachnida; Scorpiones; Buthidae
Source: RNAcentral